UACGUAGGGGGCAAGCGUUGUCCGGAUUUAUUGGGCGUAAAGCGCGUGUAGGCGGCCACGCAGGUCCGCUGUGAAAACUCGAGGCUCAACCUCGAGAUGUCGGUGGAAACCGCGUGGCUAGAGUCCGGAAGAGGAGAGUGGAAUUCCCGGUGUAGCGGUGAAAUGCGUAGAUAUCGUAAGGAAGACCAGUGGCGAAGGCGGGUCUCUGGACAGUUCCUGACGCUGAGGCACGAAGGUCAGGGGAGCAAACGGG
RNAcentral lists this ribosomal RNA (253 nucleotides) under uncultured bacterium. RNAcentral's name for it is "partial 16S ribosomal RNA". It matches the Rfam family "Bacterial small subunit ribosomal RNA", at positions 524 to 776 of the family's 1533-position model. The record is from RNAcentral.